AACUGGGGGAGUUCAUUUCUUCCCACAGCUGCUAGAGCGCAGAAGCCCUUCCUGGCUCAAGUCAAUAGGUAUAUUAGCAUACAGCUGGAGAUCCCCCUUUCCAGCCCCGCUGGCAGGGGGUUACCGUGGCCUCCUCGCGGAGGUCUGUGGUGCGAACAUAUUCCCGGGAAUUGUCAUUUGAUCUAUCAGGAGCCUCCUCAGCCCCUCGGUGGAGACAAAAACUCCAAGCAGCCCUACUCAGAUCAUUCCCGUAUUUUCUUUCCUUUCCUUUCCUUUUUUUCUCUCUCUCUUUCUUUCUUUCUCUUUCUCUCUCUCUCUUUCUCCUUUUGCCGUUGGUUCACCCUCCAAUGGCCGCCGUGGCCGGCGUGCUGUGGCCGGCGCACCGCGCUGAUCCGAUGGCAGGAGCCAGGUGCUUAUCCUAGUCUCCCAUGGGGUGCAGGGACCAAGCACUCGGGCCAUCCUCCACUGCACUCCCUGGCCACAGCAGAGAGCUGGCCUGGAAGAGGGGCAACCGGGACAGAAUCCGGCGCCCCGACCAGGACUAGAACCCGGUGUGCCGGCGCCGCAAGGCGGAGGAUUAGCCUAGUGAGCCGGCGCCGGCCCAUUCCCGUAUUUUUAACCCAGCUCCGCACCCAGUUCGUCGCAAGGCCUGCAGCCCCAGCUUCCACUGGCUGGGCCCCGAGCGAUAUGAUUGGCAUGGCCAUCGCACUCUUAACGCUUACGAAGCUGCCCUCGUCUGUGAACACCGGCUGCUUCUCGGUUGCAGCCGGGAUUCUCAGGCCGGUCCCUAGGAGGAGGUGCCCGCCGCGUCGCCUCGGAGCGCACGCUGGGCACGCGGGCGCCGUUGUGCGGUCCGCGCCUCCCAGCCAGCGGGGCGGCGGGAAGAAGGGGCUUCGCGCCCGCCGUCGCGCUUUGUCCCCGCGCGGCCCCCGUCCACUUCCCCACGGGUGCUCCGCCGGCCGCGAAAGUUUCUCCAGGUGCGGGAUUCCGGGCUGGGCUACGUGUCGUGCCUGCCGGAGGCCAGUCCGCCCGCCGGCCUGGGUGCCUAUGCAGCCCAAGCCAUUAGAACUAGACAACAUGGGGAGUGUCUUCACAUUCGUUGCAGAGUAA
RNAcentral lists this long non-coding RNA (1110 nucleotides) under Oryctolagus cuniculus (rabbit). RNAcentral describes it as "lncRNA (ENSOCUG00000035999.1)". Lineage: Eukaryota; Metazoa; Chordata; Mammalia; Lagomorpha; Leporidae. The record is from RNAcentral.